This is a long non-coding RNA of Dermacentor albipictus, 172 nucleotides long. RefSeq lists it as uncharacterized. Lineage: Eukaryota; Metazoa; Arthropoda; Arachnida; Ixodida; Ixodidae. The record is from RefSeq and is a predicted model, not a curated record.
UGUGGCUAUGGUUGAGGUCAUCAGCAUCGGUAGCGGCAACCGUGCCCGCGUUCCACGCGCCAUACAUUUCAGGCCCGGCGACCAACAGCCACCAUGGGGGACGAGUCAGCGAUGUCCGAGAUGUCAGGGACGUCAGGGAUGUCAGGGAUGGAAUCGUCGACCACGGACGGUA